RNAcentral lists this ribosomal RNA (241 nucleotides) under Vibrio alginolyticus. RNAcentral's name for it is "partial 16S ribosomal RNA". It matches the Rfam family "Bacterial small subunit ribosomal RNA", at positions 344 to 577 of the family's 1533-position model. Lineage: Bacteria; Pseudomonadati; Pseudomonadota; Gammaproteobacteria; Vibrionales; Vibrionaceae. The record is from RNAcentral.
GGAGGCAGCAGUGGGGAAUAUUGCACAAUGGGCGCAAGCCUGAUGCAGCCAUGCCGCGUGUGUGAAGAAGGCCUUCGGGUUGUAAAGCACUUUCAGUCGUGAGGAAGGCGGGUACGUUAAUAGCGUAUUCGUUUGACGUUAGCGACAGAAGAAGCACCGGCUAACUCCGUGCCAGCAGCCGCGGUAAUACGGAGGGUGCGAGCGUUAAUCGGAAUUACUGGGCGUAAAGCGCAUGCAGGUG